UACGUAGGGGGCAAGCGUUGUCCGGAUUUAUUGGGCGUAAAGAGCUCGUAGGUGGUUCGGUAAGUCGGAUGUGAAAUCUCCAGGCUCAACCUGGAGGGGUCAUUCGAUACUGCCGUGACUAGAGGUCGGUAGGGGAGUGUGGAAUUCCUGGUGGAGCGGUGAAAUGCGCAGAUAUCAGGAGGAACACCAAUGGCGAAGGCAGCUCGCUGGGACGUGACUGACGCUGAGACGCGAAAGCGUGGGGAGCAAACAGG
Molecule: ribosomal RNA, 254 nt
Filed under: uncultured bacterium
Lineage: Bacteria
Description: partial 16S ribosomal RNA
Rfam family: Bacterial small subunit ribosomal RNA
Source: RNAcentral